UACGGAGGAUGCAAGCGUUAUCCGGAAUGAUUGGGCGUAAAGCGUCCGCAGGUGGCAAUGUAAGUCUGCUGUCAAAGCGUCUGGCUCAACCAGAUACAGGCAGUGGAAACUACAUAGCUAGAGUAAGGGAGGGGUAGAGGGAAUUCCUGGUGUAGCGGUGAAAUGCGUAGAGAUCAGGAAGAACACCGGUGGCGAAGGCGCUCUGCUGGACCUUAACUGACACUGAGGGACGAAAGCUAGGGGAGCGAAUGGG
RNAcentral lists this ribosomal RNA (253 nucleotides) under uncultured bacterium. RNAcentral's name for it is "partial 16S ribosomal RNA". It matches the Rfam family "Bacterial small subunit ribosomal RNA", at positions 524 to 776 of the family's 1533-position model. The record is from RNAcentral.